Molecule: long non-coding RNA, 712 nt
Organism: Gorilla gorilla gorilla (western lowland gorilla)
Lineage: Eukaryota; Metazoa; Chordata; Mammalia; Primates; Hominidae
Exons: 3
Source: RefSeq, a predicted model, not a curated record
UACUAAAUGGAUGUCAUUUCUGGGCACUUACAUAAUUGGCUAAGGCUGGUCUCAGCAGAAAACAGCCGCUGACCCUGUCCACACACACACGUGGACCCACGGGACCACUUGGAAAUCGGACGCUCCUGGCCUGACACUGCAUUGUCUCCAGCAGAACGAGAAACACAGCAGAGAGGGAAUGGUCAACCCCAGAGCACCGGCCACUUUGGGAAAAUGGACAUCUCCUCUCCUCUGGCUGAAGGAAAGGCAAGCAGACUAGCUGCAGUGAGGCUUCCCGGAGGUGCCAGGCAGUAAGAAGACACGGCGUUGCCCCAGGCUGUGUAGCUCACAACAAUUUUCCAUCCAAAUGCAUGAGCCCGGGUUCCCGAUGAAGACUUGGCUUCUCCUGAGCCCGGGGGUCCUGGCUGCUCUGGUGCCAACCCCUGGGUGUCUUCGAGCUGCAGAGGGCUUGCCACGUGCAUCCUCCUCCCUCUGCCUGAGCCACGAAGACCAGGCUGGACCAUGUUCCACAAAGACUGUGUCCCCAUCAGGGGCCUCCUCCCAACAACACUUAACCAAGCUUUGUAUUCAACAAGGAACACAUUCCCCCUCCACCAAACCUCAUUGAAAACACAGAGGUGCAUGGAUAACCAUGGCCGAAUCAUAACUGGUAUGCGUGCUCAUGGUUUUCUUUGAAAAUCUAACUGUCUUUUAAAAAUCUUUCCCACAUGAA